UGGUUCGCUCUUCUUUUUCUUGCCAGGCUCCUUGUCAUCAGCUUCCGGCUUCUCAGGUGUCUCCUUCCAGCCAAAGAUAGUCGGAGUGGGUUCCUUUCCAGGUGUGCCCUCUCUGCUUGGAAGCUUGGUGGGCUCUUGCGUUUCAGCACCAGGUUCUCCAGGGAAUGCUGGC
This 172-nucleotide long non-coding RNA is filed under the name Dermacentor andersoni. RNAcentral's name for it is "uncharacterized LOC126533681". The record is from RNAcentral. Lineage: Eukaryota; Metazoa; Arthropoda; Arachnida; Ixodida; Ixodidae.